UCUCUCUCUCCCUUUCUCUCUGUCCCUCCCCCACUCACGUGCUCUUUCUCUCAAAUAAAAACUUAAAAAAACAAAACAGAGAAGAAAAUGGAAGCACAGGAACAUUGCUAUAAAAAGAAAAACCACCCACGUUUUGACUUUAAUAUGCUAUCUUCACACUUAACAUUUCAGUGAGAAAUAUGCCAAAUCUCCAGAAGGUGUCUGUAAAACUAAGACCCUGCGGCACCUGGGUGGCUCAGUCGGUUAAGCCUCCAACUUCGGCUUAGGUCAUGAUCUCAUGGUUUGAGUUUGAGCCCCGCGUGGGGCUCUGUGCUGACAGCUCAGAGCCUGGAGCCUGCUUCGGAUUCUGUGUCUCCCCCUCUCUCUGCCCCAUGCUCAUGCUCUAUUAAAAAAAAAAAAAAAAAUUAAAAACUAAGACCCUGUCCACUCGAGCAAUGCUCAGUAAACUGAGAGUCUGGCCGUAUUCUCUUCCACCUUCAUUCAUUACCGAAGGUCACAUCAUCAGCUAAUCACUUUGUUCUUGAGAAACUGCUGGUGAGGAUAAAUGAUCUGAUUUCAUUUAAAAGGGAAUUCUGUCUCAAAACACUAUUAAGACUGUCUCCCCUUUACUAUGCCAGCCACUAAGCAGAAAUGCUGACACGAGGGGUCAGAUGUGAAAGUCUGGCGGGGGGAGGAACACUGUAAGACUAGCUUCAAGAACAAGCUGGUAGCAGGAGAACCACAAAUUACUCUCUCCCCUUUGGUUUUAAUUCUAGGUGGCAAUAUAGCCAUUGUGAUAAAGGAGAAGUCAAGUCAACUUAGGGUAAAGAUAAUAAACAUCACUGAAAGCUGGUAGGUUCUCUGACAAAUGUUGCAGGGUCUGGAAACCAGUUGCUAAUGGGGUAGUACCUAUGGCAGUUUUCUCAGGGUUUUAUACCUGGGAAGGGUUAUAUCGAACCAUCUCGUCUCAUUUAUCUUCAAUUUUAGUUUUUCUCAGUGAAAUUUUAACUCUGAUCUAUUGUGAACUGAGCCUUUAAGUAUUCCUUCCUUUACAAGGAAAAGACCAAGGUCUGAAAUCUAUGUUUGAACCAAAUGAAAUUGCCAUCUCUGGAGGUAAAAAAAAAAAAAAAUGCUUGCCUAUCAGCAGUUUCAUAUGGUUCAUUCUAAGAUUCUUCGGGCCCAGUGCUUCUGGUUAAAGAGAAGCUCUCCCUGCUGUAUCGGAUUCCAUCACGACCUUUUCUUUGACAUUUACGCUGAAUGUGCCCCAUAUGCUCAUACAUUACUGAAAUCCAACACCACUUAAUCUUGGUUUUGUAACAGUGUGAGGUUCAUCUCUUGGUUUAGUUUUCCUGUAUGUAUAAAUACUACUUGAUUUAAAGGAAAAACAUGCUGAAGCCAGUAUUCACAGGAAAAUAAUUCCCUCUGUAUUCAGGUUAUACAAUGUUUUUUGGAAAAGUUGAGCUACAGCAUAGAAGUUAGCUAAAUUGGUCUUUCAUCACCGCAACUUCUCUCUGGUCACACGUAAAACGACUACAGCUCUUCCCUCAACCAGAGGCUGCAUCCUGGAGCGUGGAGCUGCUUGGAAAGGCGCUCGGCAGCCGGCAGCCACUCCCAGGAUACAGUCCCCAGACCACCUACCUCUCAUCAGCUGAAAGUGCCUAUGAAAAACGAAGCUUCUCUAAAUGCAAUGUGGAAUCCUGUAUUGGAUCCUGGAAUAGAUAGAGAACAUUAGUGGAAAAUCUGGUGAGAUCCAAAUGAAGUCUGGAGUUAAUGGUAAUGUGCCAGUGUUGACUUCUUCGUUUUGACAGUGACCUUUGAUGACAUGUUAGCAUUAGGGCAAAAUGAUUAAGGGGUAUACAGGAACUGGAUUAUCUUUGCAAAUUUUCUAUAAAGUCCAAAAUAAAGUUUUCUUUAAAAAAAAAAAAAAGCAGCUUUAUGGGUCCCAGAUCUACUGAAUCUCAAUUCCUGGAGCUUAAGCCUGGGAAUCUACAUUUUUAGUAGGAACUCCAGAAGAUUCUAUCCAUUCCCUUUCCAUUUCAUGCCUAAACCGUUGCUUCUUCCUUGCUUUACCUUAACCUGAUCUCAUCCUUUAGCUCCCCUCAGCCCUAAGAUCAGUGCUACUCUGCCUCUUUCACAGAUGAGAAAGCUGAAAAACUCAGAGAUUAAUAUGUCCAGGGUCACACAACCCAUAAAUGGAGGAGCGGGAACUUGAAUCCCUUGCUGUCUAGCUGCCAAGUCUUUAAAGACUUGGCAUCCAUUCUACUGCCUCUCAAUCCCAUUUCCAUUGGUGACAAACUAAAAAGCUCUAAAUCACUAAAGAAUUAUUACUGGGGCGCCUGGGUGGCUCAGUCAGUUAGGUGCCGGACUUCAGCUCAGGUCAUGAUCUCAAAGUUUGUGGGUUCGAGCCCCAUGUAGGGCUCUGUGCUGACAGAUCAGAGCCUGGAGCCUGCUUCAGAUUCUGUGUGUGUGUGUGUGUGUGUGUGUGUGUGUGUGUGUGUGUGUGUGUCUGCCCUUCCCCCCUCUCACUUGCUCAAAAAUAAACAUUUAAAAAGAAUUAUUACCAAUAAUACUCUGGACCCCACCUUUUUCUCCAACCUGCUAAGUCCCUACAGUCCCUUUGCCCCGGCCUGUGGCUUUACUCCUACCCCCUUUUCCACUGGGGAGAAAUGAGCAAUGAGGAAGCCCUGGGAGGGUGUGCCACCACCAGAGUCCUGCACAUGGAAGGUGCAGCUCUGUUCUUCCAUCAGGAUUCAGCUCAACAACGGGGUCUUCCAUUCUGCUUCUCCCAACCGUCCUCACUUCUAUAGGAAUCUGACAAUGUUCACAGCACUCACUCUGACAUUAAAUUACAUACGCUCAUAUUGUUGUCCACCUCUUAGAUUUGUCUUAUCUCCCUCCAACAAAACGUGAAGACCCUAAUUACCCGUCUUUGACAUACUUACACCUCAGAGCGAUGCUGGAGAACACGGACAUCCCAGGCAUUAACAGGCGAUGGUCCGUGGACUGGGGACUACUCUGCGUUUGGCCAACAGGCAGCCAGGAGAAAGGACUCUGACAAUAGUAUCUCAGGUUUAUCAGGCAGCAGAUUAUCAGGGAGGUGCCAACUCUAAAUCAAUUUCUAGCCUCUUCUCUGGGCUCCCUGACUUGUAUUCAGGGCUUAAUACCAAGUUGUGGAUCUAACUGCUGAAUGACAAAUGGUUUUGAGAGUCCCUGCCACCCCCCCCCCCAACCAGACACACAACAGCAUCACCUCUAUUCAAAGAGGUUCAGUAUCAAGUACAGAUGGAGGGCUGAUAAAAUAGAAAACGAUCUCAGGCAAGGUCGCUGGUCUUACGUGUAUUUCCCUUCAUUUCUUCAAGGGAUUCAUGAAACAAUCAGGAUCGGCAGGAGAAACCUAAGUACAUUCAAGUAAAACAUGUUUUCAUUAGUUUUGCUGCUGGUGACUGGAAUUGGCUUGAUUUUCAUACUAAUAAAAGCAUCGCCUCUUUAAGUACAUCUGAGAAAUCUGAUUAUGAAGUUAGAAUCCACAUAUCUCCUCAAGCACUCCUAGAAAGCAGUGUGUGUCUUCAUAAAAGCAUGAGGAGAAAAAGACUUGUACAGCAUCUUUUUUAUUUUCUUUACCAUUGUUUUAAUGCACUUUAAAAUUUAUCUACAUUAAUUGGGAACAAAGAAACAAAAAUAGACAUUUCUUUGUUUUUCAUAAAUAACUACUCUCCAUAUUUGAUAAAAAUCUCAAACCAUUACUUUACCUCCCCACAAAUAUAAUACAUACAAAAUCUUUUCUGAAUUAAUAAGGUCAGCAAAUUAAGCAUCUUGAGACUAACAUAACCACGUACAACUGCUGCUCUACGGACUUCCAGGAACAAAACCAAACCAAAAACUACCUAUCGAGAAUGUCUGGGUUUCCUUUUGUUAAUGUUAUGGAGUCAAAAUUAUAAUCCUCUGCCAAUAAUAAUUUAUAGAUUCAAGUUGAUUGUCUACAAAGAAAAUAUCGCUGGCUCUGAUUGGGGAAUUCUGGGUCGGACGCGACGGCGAGGAUGCUGCAGUGGUAGGCACUAUACACGGGUGAAAAUCAAAAAAAAAAGUACUGAAUGCCCUGGACGCCACCUACUGACUCGGUAUGUGCCUCAUGUGGCUCAGUAAUAAGUUCACCUGCACCAAACCCGUAUCAAAGUCACUAAAUCUCUCAUAUAUAUAAUAUAUAUUAUAUGUAUAUACACACCCACAACACAUACAUACUAUACAUACAGUUUGUAACAACACGAAGUAAUAUUGUCUCACAAUGGUGUACCAGACAGUGUCCUGGCUGAAAUGAAUCCUGCAAUUGUCAGUGAGCUGCUAGAAGCUUUUGAGAGUUGAGUCAGGUUACUUAGUCCCUCACAUCCUGCCCACCCUUUGCCCUGCUUUAAUGUCUUGGUAGCUUUUUUUUUUUCUUCCCCUCAGAACCACCCUCCCCCCUCCAGGCAUAUUUUCCCCCCUGGGAUCACUUGCUUGGACUUUGGAGGCAAGAAAGGGCACGCAGAGGGAGCAGGCAAUUCUCAGCCACUGUACCUCACACCUGCCUAGAUGUGUGACGUUCUCUGUCCUGUUUGCCACAUUUGGUGUUAGAAAGCAGUUAUUCAAAGCUUUGUCCCUCCUACCCCCCUUGGUCUUUCUGUAGAGCACAAAAGUGAAAGAAGCCCCUUUAGCAGGGGUAGCAGUUCAUUAAAAUAUACAACUACGUUUCCUAGCUCUGGGGUUUCCAUUCUGUACUUGAGAGUGCAGGUCACGGAUGCUGUUAUUAAGGUUCGGUGUGGGAUCCAUGAGGUUUUCUCCUGGCAGCCAGUGUCAGGAUUAGUGCAGCCCUGGCCCAGGAGGAAACAGCCUAAUGAAUACCAACUUGGAAACAGUGCUGUCGGCACAUUAUUUAAGCCUGUACAUGCACACAAUUACACACACACACACACACACACACACACACACAGGCCCGUCAUUGGAAACGGUCAUGUGAAAAGAUGACAAAGGUUUGCAAAGAUAAACCAAUAAGGCACCAAGAAAAAUUAUUCUCAGCCAAUUUAGACAACAUCAAAAUGUAAGGAGGGAAAUCAUAUAAAUUAAAGAGACUUCCUAAAAGUCUGGCCAACGGAUCCGCAGACGGGUCACAUUAGUUCCUUUAGACAACUUUCUAUAUCUUCACCCCUAACUCAUGAAGCGAGACAAUGCUUAAAACCGACCUGUGAAAGGGACAACCUGGAAGCUGUACAUGUGACAUUAAACUGAACCAUAAAUCCUUUCCAACUCCACAAAGCUAUCUGUGAAGAAGUUGCUAGACCCCACCGCCCACAACCUUUCAUUUUAUAAUUGUUUUCAUGAGUAUGAACUGUCUGCAUAAUAAAAAUGCAAAUCAGGGGGAAAUAGCAUGUGGGAUGGAAAGAGAGGGUGGCCAUAAAUAGAUCUGGCUUCUCUCCCCUGGGUGGGGGAUGGGGUGGUUGACAUUAGGAAGACUCUUGGGAAGCAGGUAGGCUUGAUCUUUGAGGGAUGGGAGAGGAAGAGUGGGGGCAAGAACACAGACUGAAAACAAAGGGGCAUCUCUGAAAAGCGGUGUGCAACUAGACCCCAAAAGGCAUUACUUAUAUUGCCCCUCCUUGGCUCACGGUCCUUUUUCAACUGCUUUUCUUUUUUUUUUCCUUCACAGUAAAUUGGUUGUUUUUGUGAGGCUUGGCAUGUUGCCCAAAUGAAACACUAAUUUUUUUUUU
This is a long non-coding RNA of Felis catus (domestic cat), 5714 nucleotides long. RefSeq lists it as uncharacterized. The transcript is spliced from 2 exons. The record is from RefSeq and is a predicted model, not a curated record. NCBI's taxonomy places the organism in Eukaryota, Metazoa, Chordata, Mammalia, Carnivora, Felidae.